UUUACAGGCCUUCCACUGAUUGGAUGAAGCCUACCCACAUUAUAGAAGACAAAAAGCUUUACUCAGUUUACUAAAUCAAAUGUUCACUUUAUCCAGAAGCACCCUCAGACACAAGAACCACAUUUGAUCAAAUGUCUGGGCAAUCCCCCAACAGUCAAGUUGGCAGGGACCAUCCUCCAAUAUAUAAUGUUUAUUCACAAUGAGAACUGGAUCCAGACCUAAAGAAUGCAGAUGAUUUUAAAGCAUAUGAUAUAUAACCAUGUGAAGAACUGACUCUAGAGCAAGACUUGAAAAACUAUUGCCUGCAAAGCAUUUUGGGGCUGCUACUUGCAUCGAUGUACAAACUGUAUUGGAACAGCACUGCGUCAUACACUUAUGCAUUAUUCUCAACUGCUUUUUCAUCAGAAAAACAGAGUUGAGAAGUGAGA
This is a long non-coding RNA of Phyllostomus discolor (pale spear-nosed bat), 428 nucleotides long. RefSeq lists it as uncharacterized. The transcript is spliced from 2 exons. The record is from RefSeq and is a predicted model, not a curated record. Lineage: Eukaryota; Metazoa; Chordata; Mammalia; Chiroptera; Phyllostomidae.